AGCACUUUGAAGAGAGAGUUAAAGAGGACGUGAAACCGGUAAGGUGGAAACGGAUAGAGUCGGCGUAUCAUUCAAUUAUUCAGUUACAUUAUUUUUAUGUUGUGACCUCUGAGCUCCAGAUUGGGACAGAGGGAAUCAGCAUAAUUUUUUGUGGUGCAUUUACUUGAUUGGUGCUUGGGGAUGUUUGAGGCAGAUUUGUUUCCGUCGUUUUGAGGCCAGCUUGCUGGUACCCAAACGGUGUUAGCAUUUUUUGUCUUGGGCAUUUGAGUAUGGCUCACGUGUAUUUAUUGGUCAGAUCUGAGUGUAAGUUACGGUCGCAUGCGACACGUGCUUUUCAAUUAGUUCGGUCCAGUUAAUGCUCUCGUACUCGUUCCCCAUGUAAAAGCCGGUCAUCUAUCCGACCCGUCUUGAAACACGGACCAAGGAGUUUAUCGUGUGCGCAAGUUUUUGGGUGUUAAAAACUUAAAAGCGAAAUGAAAGUAAAUGACUCUUUAGAGUCUGAUGUGCGAUCUUGUAAAAAAGUGCAGCAUGGCCCCAUUCUAACUGUUUACAGUAGGGUGGCGGAAGAGCGUNCACGGUGAGACCCGAAAGAUGGUGAACUAUUCCUGAGCAGGACGAAGCCAGAGGA
RNAcentral lists this ribosomal RNA (628 nucleotides) under Meloidogyne javanica (root-knot nematode). RNAcentral describes it as "eukaryotic LSU rRNA". It matches the Rfam family "Eukaryotic large subunit ribosomal RNA", at positions 370 to 859 of the family's 3401-position model. The record is from RNAcentral. Lineage: Eukaryota; Metazoa; Nematoda; Chromadorea; Rhabditida; Meloidogynidae.